GCGGAGAUGCCGGAGCGGUCAAACGGACGCGAUUAAGGCUCGCGUGGCUUAGUGCCUUCGAAGGUUCGAAUCCUUCUCUCCGCA
Molecule: transfer RNA, 84 nt
Filed under: Nanobdellota archaeon
Lineage: Archaea; Nanobdellati; Nanobdellota
Description: tRNA-Leu
Rfam family: tRNA
About the family: Transfer RNA (tRNA) molecules are approximately 80 nucleotides in length.
Source: RNAcentral